CCCUUGAUUGAUCCCGCCCCGGCUCCUGAAUUCAGAAUCCUGCACACCAGCCCACUCCACCCGGGCGGAGCGCAUCCCAUCCUCACCGACACCUGAGCCAGCACAGCCUCCCCUGCAGGCCGGCUUCACUGUCCCAUGGUCCCACUGCCACAGCUGCCCCUCGCCCAGUGCCCACUGUGUGCGGGGAGCCCCAAGUGGCAUCACAGCCUGGUACAGGGAUCCCAUGGUCUCCGUGCUGCCAUCAUGCCCUCCCUGCCACUUUCCAGUCUGGACCAGACUGGAGCGGGUGUGCUGGAGGCAAGCGGGCCCAUGACCACAAGUGAAGGGCAGCUCAAGGACAGAGAGGAAGUCCCGCAAGUUAGCAUGUGAGCCAGAAGGACAGAAGGCCAGGAGUCCACCCUGCCUGGUCCUGUGGGCUCUGUGCCCUGGUUAUUCUGAACCCCAGUCCUGACCCCAGGCCCACGACAGGCAGGGAGUGAUCAACUCCACUCUGAACCUCAGUUUCCAAAGCAAGGGUCCCACCGGGGACCCCCGCGGCACAUCCUUGUCAUCACUCGCCUAGCAAAGGUAAAAGACAAUGAAUUGUGACCCACAGAUGCCUACCUGAGCCCCGCCUGAGCCCCCGAGUGCCACCUGUACGUAUCCCACCAUACCCACACGAUCCCCCGCCUGCACCCCACCAUCUGAACCUGGCUCUGCUGCUGCCCUCCCCGCAUGGCAGGCCCUACAGGCUGCUUCCCGGCUCUGCAGCCUCCAGCCGGGGCCAGUGCAUGCAGGGCUGUGUUCUCUGCACCCUCCAUGCUACCGGUUUCCUUGUGUGUCCCAAGGUGCUGCCCACACCUUGUCCACCCUCAACCCUCGGGCCAGGGGGUGGCUCCUAAACACCCUGGCAAUCAGCCCUUCAUAUCUGGCCACCACGUCUGUCCACCAUCCAGGUUCCAUGGCGCCCAUUUGGAUGCCCGCUUCCUCCUUGCACCUUUCCCAGUCCUGGCAGAAACAGGUGUUGAUAGAGAGGCCCAGCCCUGCCAAAGACCAGAGGCUGAGUCCCAGCUGGACAUGGAGUGGCGUCCUGGGGCAGCAUCUGUGGCAGAGGAUCCAGUUUUUCCCCAGCAUGGGCACCCCUGUAGUAUCAGAUUUACAAGGAGAUACAAAGGGCAUCCUCAGAGAGGAAGGCAGGAAAGUGUUCCUGUCCCUAAGGGCCCCAUUUCCCAGACAAGGCAGCAGCAAACACCAGCUGGCUGAACCUAAUCGGGUACUUGAGGGUGACCGGGACUGCAAGGCAGGGCCUGCUCAUGGG
This 1297-nucleotide long non-coding RNA is filed under the name Fukomys damarensis (Damara mole-rat). RNAcentral describes it as "lncRNA (ENSFDAG00000031989.1)". The record is from RNAcentral. Lineage: Eukaryota; Metazoa; Chordata; Mammalia; Rodentia; Bathyergidae.